Callorhinchus milii (elephant shark) is the source of this 79-nucleotide non-coding RNA. The record is from the annotation of a RefSeq genome assembly. Lineage: Eukaryota; Metazoa; Chordata; Chondrichthyes; Chimaeriformes; Callorhinchidae.
ACCACUGUAGCUUAGAGGUUAGAGCACUCGCCUUCCAAGCGAGAGGACCCGGGUUCGAUUCCCGGCAGCGCAAAACGUU